This is a long non-coding RNA of Thunnus maccoyii (southern bluefin tuna), 3097 nucleotides long. RefSeq lists it as uncharacterized. The record is from RefSeq and is a predicted model, not a curated record. NCBI's taxonomy places the organism in Eukaryota, Metazoa, Chordata, Actinopteri, Scombriformes, Scombridae. The transcript is spliced from 5 exons.
UGCAGAGAAGUCAGCCCAUCACUGAGUUAAUAAACUCUGUGUUGCUUGAACAGUUUUCACUGCGCUUCUAAAUUUCUUUGUGUAUUUUCAUUUAGGAAACAAAAUGAUAUCAUUUCAGAUGGCAGCCAACACUAAUUUUAAUAUGAAUAUACUGGAAAUUAGACACCAAAUGAGAAUUCAAGCAAUAUUUUCAAUCCCAGAUGUCAGUUAGUAGAGAAACGGCAGGGCCAAGUAGAGAGGUGGUGUAGGCAGAUGGGAGUGAAGCUUUAGUGGGAUAUCUGCAGCUUUCCCAGCUGCAGGUAUCCCACUAUCCUAGAGAAAGUUAGUGGGACAAUGUAUCAGUCAAGUAUUAUAAUAUCGAUUCUAAAUAUAAUGCAUUAAUUUCGGAUGAUCCCAAGCACUGCAAAUCUGGGUGGAACCCUGAAUGGCUUCAAAUGCCACAAUUUUAUCAGGAAUGUAAGCUACUGUUUGCUUUAAGCUUUUAAGUCUCAGCAUAUUUUUUUGAUCAGUGGCAUUACUUAUUUCAGGAAUAUUUUGUCAUGCGCGCAGGCAGCACAAGCCAACAGAAAAAAAGGUCCUACCAAAGUACUUUUAUUGAAGUUGGGGUUCUUGUGUUUCACAAAGAUUAUUUGGAGCGCCACAUCACCUCUGAGCCUCAUAAACAAUAUUUGGAAAAGCAGGCAUCACUUGCAUCUGGUAUGUUCUGAUUUUUCUUUAUCUUAUGCAAUAACACAUUGGCAAUCUAUAACCAAAUUAGUUAUCCUUAUAACAAGGUGUCCUUUCCUCAGUGUAUAGGCUACUCAGUGGUGCAAGCUUUUGACUCCAGCAUCAUCGUUGAGCACAAAGCUGUUGUUGGAGGAUUUAAGUGCCUUUACUGGCUUGUGAAAAAUGAAAUAGCACAUCACACCAACUACCCAAAAAAAGUCUGGCUGAGCGUUUAGGAUGAGAUUAUUUUACCAAACUGAAGGUCAGAGAAACAAUUACAGAUCCCACAGAAUAGUAGAUGAGAUGCAGGAAAUCCUGUUAAGAGUAAUUGAGGAGCCUCUUCUGGAGGAUAUGGAGGAUAAGUCAUCUCAAGCCAUUAGCCUGGAAAUAGAUGAAAUCACGGAUGUCUCCAUAAGCCUUCAGCUCAACAUACAUAUCCGGUAUGAAUGUGGGAGCUGUUGAAAGGUGAAUUUAAAAAAAAUUCAUAUGCCAAUUUGGAAUCAUCUGCGAAUAAUCAGCACUUUAUUUCAGAUACCUGGACAAAGAGGGAUGAGUGUUUAACCAGUUCCUUGACAUGGUAUCCCUGGAAAAUUGUAAAGCUGACACAGUUGUUGCUGCUGCAAAGGACGUCAUCCAGAAAAAGAAGCUCCCAACAGACAGAUGGUCUUAGGACCGAUGGUCCAGCAGUAAUGACAGGUUUAUGAAGAACUGGAUGAGCAACUGUUCCCAACAAAAGCAAGAUGCCCCUUCACGCCGUCGAUCUUGACAGCAAGUACAAGCUGAAUAGCUUCCCAUACCUGGGAAAAGAUGACAGCAAGCCAGCCAUGCAACGCCUUGGGGAGAAUGCGGUGCUGUAGCUGGUGGAGUCCUUUGUUGCCUGGUAGUCACCAUCAACAGGAACAAGCAGGAGCUCCCACCUUCUGUGCGAGGGAGAGCACAGCUGUUCAGCACCAAGAUGGCCCGUUGCUGCAUUUUACAAUGUGCUGGAUCUUGCUGCCAUCAAUGCCUGGGUGCUGUACUGGAGCUGUAUGAACGACAACAUUCCCAGAAGGGACUUCAUGCUCCAGCUGGCCCAGGAGCUGUACAUUGAGUGGAUGGCAUCAAAAGAGCUACCACGCGUGGACGUGCCCUUCACAGAUGCAGAAGAGCGCAGGAGAAUGACCUGUGUGCACUGCAAACAGAAUAAAACAUUCCGUAAAUGCUGUUUGUGGGAAACGCACAGCCAAGGUGCUCAAUGUCUGAGCAAUAUGUAGCAGAAAUAAUCACAAAAUGAACGACAAUUAACAUUUGGCUAAUUAGAUUUUAUUUGUUUAUGUAAUAAUUGAGUUUAGUAGUUUGGGGAUUCAUGUUUUGUAAUUGAUUAGUGGGUUAAUUUGAGGGUAACUUUGACAGAGGUGUGUUCCCUUCAUGAAAGGUGCCCGGCUCCCUUGUUAUGUGUUUUUUGACCUGCAGAGAUAGUUUUCUAUUGCGCUUUAUUCUAUGCAAUCUUGUCACAUUCAGCCAUUCACACACAUUCAUAUGCUGAUGGCAUGGCAUACACAGAGUUUGCUAUGCAAGGUGCUUGCUCAUCAGGAGGAGUUUCUAAUCAUUCACACACACACAGCCUCAGGGAACAAUUUGGGUUUCAGUAUCUUGCCUAAGGACACUUCAACUGUAGGAGCCUGGGAUCGAACUGCCGAUCUUCCAAUUAGUAGACGAUCUGCUCUACCUCCUGAGCCACAGCCAUCCCUGAGUUUGCAUAACUGUUUACAACGGGUAGGCAAAUUCAUUAAAAUAUGCAAUAAUUAAGAUCAGUGCAUAUGAUGGAAUAGUGGCAUUAGAAUGUGCCUGAGGCCACCAAAUUUGGGCUUUUUUUCCUCCAGGGGAACAUGCCCCCAGACCGCCUAGCUAGCCACUUUUUCCCACUGGCAGGUUACUCUGUAUCUUUGUGGAAAGCCCUGCUAGUAACCGCAGAGCUGUUACAAUUUUUAAAUUACUGUAUUUAGUUAAUUUAACUAAAUAAAGUAAUCUGUAUUUAGUUGAUUUUAGUGUUGCCGAUUCUGAGUCGUGUGAAGUCAAUUGUCUCUUGACGCUGCAAUUUGAUGUCAUGGCCGUUCAAAUACAGUAAGUUGUUUGACUCUCAAAAGUCAGGACUUGUAAUAUAAUAAUAUCAAGUAAGUGCAGCUAUUUUGGUAGUCAUACUGUUGCACGUCAUGUUGUUAGCUUGUUUGCUUAGCUACCGUUUGCUAUCGUUAUCAAGUGUGCCUGUAGCAAGCUAAGAACAUGAUGUUAGCUAACAUCUAACUAACUAACUAUACUAGCAAACACUUGUUACAAAUGGGUGAAUUGUGUUAAGAAAGACAGUGUAACAUUAGGUAGCGAAAGGAUUUUAUUAAAAGUCUUAAGUAAUGUC